GCCGCCCUGCCUAAUUUACACCGUGCUGUGAAUGAUAGACAGGGAGGCAGGCAUUUCGGCAGACAGCCUCUACUGCUGUGUGUCUGCGUGUCCUCAAAGCCGACCGUACGACCAGGCCCACUGACUGACCCUCGGCCUGAGACAGUCCGGGGAGGAUAGGAAGGAAAACAGCCCCAACAAAGACUCUCACAUGGCUGGAGAGAAAAAGAGAGGGAGCUAAUGGAGGAAAAAACACAGCCUCCCAAUCCAUCUGCUGAGUAAGCAGAACCCAAUCCGCUGACUCAUCAGUCCACUGCCAGAACCAGGCAGCCAGACGCACCACAACACGCCCCCACAGCCACAGCUCUCCUCACUUAUCACCCCAACUACAAGGACCUGAGCCCUAGGACCAUGCCUCAGGACUACCUGGCAUGAUGACUCCUUGCUGUCCCCAGUCCACCUGGCCGUGCUGCUGCUCCAGUUUCAACUGUUCUGCCUGCGGCUAUGGAACCCUGACCUGUUCACCGGACGUGCUUGUUGCACCCUCGACAACUACUAUGAUUAUUAUUAUUUGACCAUGCUGGUCAUUUAUGAACAUUUUAACAUCUUGACCAUGUUCUGUUAUAAUAUCCACCCGGCACAGCCAGAAGAGGACUGGCCACCCCUCAUAGCCUGGUUCCUCUCUAGGUUUCUUCCUAGGUUUUUGGCCUUUCUAGGGAGUUUUUCCUAGGGAGUUUUUCCUAGCCACCGUGCUUCUUUCACAUGCAUUGCUUGCUGUUUGGGGUUUUAGGCUGGGUUUCUGUACAGCACUUUUAGA
RNAcentral lists this long non-coding RNA (796 nucleotides) under Salmo salar (Atlantic salmon). RNAcentral describes it as "lncRNA (ENSSSAG00000090519.1)". The record is from RNAcentral. Lineage: Eukaryota; Metazoa; Chordata; Actinopteri; Salmoniformes; Salmonidae.